UUCAAAUUUUAAUUCCAAUUAAAUCUGCAUGUAAUUUGAAUUUUAAAUAUGCACAAUCUUAUCAAGCAUUCAAUCCAUCUCUCACAUAAUGAACUUUCGAUUUUCUUCUUACCAUAACCGUCUUUCUUUCUCUAUCUUCUCUCAUGUCUUUCUCUCCUAGAUCUAUAUAUCUCUCUGCAUCAUUUUUUUCUUUUAUGUUUGUUCUCUCUGUCUUCUCUUUGUCAAGCGGAGAGUUCUUGAUGGUAUUAUGGCACGGUAUUUGUUGCAGGGAAGCAGAGGAAAAAAGUAGAGACACGAUAGGGAGGAGCGAGAGAUGCAUACUGGCGUCGACAACAAUGGGAUGAUUCCGAUGGAGAUAGACGGCACGGAAGAGAAGUCACAGUUGUAGCGCCGAAAGCGGCCAGCAACGGUCUUGGGGCGAUAAUUCUGUAUGCUCUGCUUAUAGUCUUCUUUGUUUGGUGUGGAGUUGUUGAUGCAGAAAAUCCAGAACCUCAUUGUUGUUGCUGGGAUUCUAUUUGCAUUUCGCUAAAAGAGUAAUUUAGGAACUAAGACAAAAGAAGUUCUUGCUGUGUAGCUACUGUGGAAGGUUUGCAUCCACUCUAUUGUGUUUUUAUUAGCUAUUUUUUUUGUUUAAUUACUUAAAUUUGUUGUUUGCUUUUGCUUAUUGUUAUUCUUCUGCUUAUUAUUACCUUAUCUCUUCUCCUUCCUCUCAAGCUUGGCUAUGUUCUUUACUUUUCAAGGUGGUAGUUUCAAUUUUUUAUUUUUGAGUCUUUUUCCUUCUAAAACUGGGUUAAUUUCUUUUCCCCCCACGAACCAUUUGAAAAAUGUGGAACAAAUUAUGGGAUACCACCAAGAUUUAAGCUGUUGCUUUCAAAGUACUUUCAGUUUUCAAGGUAGUUCGUAAUUAUGUACAUUUUACCUGUUUAAUUCUUUUUUGAAUUGUCUUUACAUUUGGUUUUCAGGGUUUAGGAUUUUGUCCCAGAGUAAUUGAUGGGAUCAUCGGUAUAUUUGCUAUUCAAGUGUGUUUAAUUAACUGCUCUAUUUAAAAUUUUUGUUUUCUGCCUUUGAAUUAGAUUCUGCAUUGAUUUUUUGCUUUUCUCAUUUACUGAUGUCACUAUUAAGGGUAGAAAAUAGAAGAGGAUAAUAAUGAUCAUGCUUAGUAAAAUGUAUAAUAGUGAUUAUAAUUAUAAUUACCGAGAGUGCCAAUACCGAAUUAGUACUUAGUACAUGGCACUACUAGCCUCUAUCAAGUAUAAGAGCAAUUUUGCUGGCGUUGAUUUCAUGUUUAAUAUGACUUUUAGAGGGUGCCAGGUUUUCCUUCCUCUUAGAUAAAGGAACUAAUUAGCUUUAGGGCAAUUUGUACCCUAUGAAACUUUGAAAGUUUUAUACUUAUGUUAACUUUACUACAAGAUUCGUUCUUCUUUCUAUGCUUAAUAUUGCGUGCAUCUUAUUUUGAAUUAAUAUUGUUACCAUAGAAUAUAAAAUAGAGAGAAAUCUAUUAACAGAAUACAACUUGAGCAGUCAAUUUCCGUGAUGUUCAUUUGGACUCAGCGUUUAAACGUUUUAACCAGUAUGUGCUAUUAUUGGGAGAAUCCUUGGGCAGGUAUAUUAUUCAACCAUAUUUCUUUCAUGUUUCAUAAUAUCUAUAACGGACUAAUUUGAGUAUUCUUACAAUAUCAAGGCAAUAUUUGGGAAAGG
Arachis stenosperma is the source of this 1698-nucleotide long non-coding RNA. RefSeq lists it as uncharacterized. Lineage: Eukaryota; Viridiplantae; Streptophyta; Magnoliopsida; Fabales; Fabaceae. The transcript has 3 exons. The record is from RefSeq and is a predicted model, not a curated record.